This is a long non-coding RNA of Drosophila subpulchrella, 389 nucleotides long. RefSeq lists it as uncharacterized. The transcript is spliced from 3 exons. NCBI's taxonomy places the organism in Eukaryota, Metazoa, Arthropoda, Insecta, Diptera, Drosophilidae. The record is from RefSeq and is a predicted model, not a curated record.
CAAAAACGACAACGGCAAGUGAAGCAAAUAGCCGCAGGUUGCGACCGCACUUGCACCGCACACAAUGUGGCAGUGCACUCCCAGACAGUGGAACCCUCCCCGCGACGACCGCGCUGCGCAAAUUAGCAUCUGGUUAACAAGUGCGCCGCGGUUAAACGGUGAAAAUCUACGACUCUUGCUGGCGCAGCAUAAUUAGAAUCAAUUAUAUUGAAUUGGAGCAGAGCAUACAGUGAGUGCAAGAUGACAGCGGACAUGCAGAAUGCUUUGAUAAAAAAUUCGUGCUCUUUAUAUUAUUUAAUGAAGAAUUUCGAUGUUUUUGAUCCAAUUUCAGCAUAAUUAAAAUGAGGGCUAAAUGGGUGUGGUAUGCUACGGGCACACUUUAUUAUCAA